ACGAACGCUGGCGGCGCGCUUAACACAUGCAAGUCGCGCGAUGAAAUUUCGACAGAUCCCUUCGGGGUGAAGAUGAAAUGGAUUAGCGGCGGACGGGUGAGUAACACGUGAGUAACCUGCCUUUGACAUUGGGAUAGCCUCGGGAAACUGGGAUUAAUACCAAAUGACACUAACUGAUCACAUGAUCAAUUAGUCAAAGAAAUUCGGUCAAAGAUGGACUCGCGGCUGAUUAGCUAGUUGGUGAGGUAACGGCCCACCAAGGCGACGAUCAGUAGCCGGCCUGAGAGGGUGAUCGGCCACAUUGGAACUGAGACACGGUCCAAACUCCUACGGGAGGCAGCAGUGGGGAAUAUUGCACAAUGGGGGAAACCCUGAUGCAGCGACGCCGCGUGAGCGAAGAAGGCCUUCGGGUCGUAAAGCUCUUUUAUGAGGGAAGAUAAUGACGGUACCUCAAGAAAAAGCCCCGGCUAACUACGUG
RNAcentral lists this ribosomal RNA (478 nucleotides) under uncultured bacterium. RNAcentral describes it as "partial 16S ribosomal RNA". It matches the Rfam family "Bacterial small subunit ribosomal RNA", at positions 29 to 507 of the family's 1533-position model. The record is from RNAcentral.